RNAcentral lists this microRNA precursor (79 nucleotides) under Paeniglutamicibacter cryotolerans. RNAcentral's name for it is "microRNA MIR1846". Lineage: Bacteria; Bacillati; Actinomycetota; Actinomycetes; Micrococcales; Micrococcaceae. The record is from RNAcentral.
UCAUGCGAACGGCCCGCCGCGGAUCCCGGGAUCCCGGGAUCCUGGGAAUCCGGUGGUCCACGGCGGGCCGUUCACGGGC